RNAcentral lists this non-coding RNA (32 nucleotides) under Homo sapiens (human). Lineage: Eukaryota; Metazoa; Chordata; Mammalia; Primates; Hominidae. The record is from RNAcentral.
CACUCAGCACAUCCCCUGAAAACCGGCAGGUC